UACGUAGGUGGCGAGCGUUGUCCGGAUUUACUGGGCGUAAAGGGGCGUAGGCGGACUUUUAAGUGAGAUAUGAAAUACCCGGGCUCAACUUGGGUACUGCAUUUCAAACUGGAAGUCUAGAGUGCAGGAGAGGAGAAUGGAAUUCCUAGUGUAGCGGUGAAAUGCGUAGAGAUUAGGAAGAACACCAGUGGCGAAGGCGAUUCUCUGGACUAUAACUGACACUGAGGCACGAAAGCGUGGGGAGCAAACAGGAUUAGAUACCCGGGUAGUUCCUGA
Molecule: ribosomal RNA, 276 nt
Filed under: uncultured prokaryote
Description: partial 16S ribosomal RNA
Rfam family: Bacterial small subunit ribosomal RNA
Source: RNAcentral